UUGGAGGGCAAGUCUGGUGCCAGCAGCCGCGGUAAUUCCAGCUCCAAUAGCGUAUAUUAAAGUUGUUGCAGUUAAAAAGCUCGUAGUUGAAUUUCGAGAUCAAAUUGUUGGUCGUGCCUCGGUACGCACUGGCAUUAUUGAUUUCUCCCUUCUGAAGAACCACGAUGUCAUUAAUUUGGUGUCAUGGGGAAUCAGGACUGUUACUUUGAAAAAAUUAGAGUGUUUAAAGCAGGCUCACGCUUGAAUACAUUAGCAUGGAAUAAUGAAAUAGGACGUUUGAUUCUAUUUUGUUGGUUUCUAGGAUCGACGUAAUGAUUAAUAGGGAUAGUUGGGGGCAUUAGUAUUCAAUUGUCAGAGGUGAAAUUCUUGGAUUUAUUGAAGACUAACUACUGCGAAAGCAUUUGCCAAGGAUGUUUUCAUUAAUCAAGAACGAAAGUUAGGGGAUCGAAGACGAUCAGAUACCGUCGUAGUCUUAACCAUAAACUAUGCCGACUAGGGAUCGGAUGAUGUUAAUUUUUUAAUGACUCAUUCGGCGCCUUACGGGAAAC
This 548-nucleotide ribosomal RNA is filed under the name uncultured Glomeromycotina. RNAcentral's name for it is "SSU rRNA". It matches the Rfam family "Eukaryotic small subunit ribosomal RNA", at positions 548 to 1098 of the family's 1831-position model. The record is from RNAcentral. Lineage: Eukaryota; Fungi; Glomeromycota.